AUAGGCUUACGGCCACACCGGUUCUCGUACGUUCACCGAAGUUAAGCAACGUCGAGCCUGGUCAGUACCUAGAUAGUUGACCGGUUGGAAAUAACAGGUGUUGUA
This 105-nucleotide ribosomal RNA is filed under the name Acanthosepion pharaonis. Lineage: Eukaryota; Metazoa; Mollusca; Cephalopoda; Sepiida; Sepiidae. The record is from RNAcentral.